ACAAUAGAGACACAUUUUUAGCAGCAAUCCGGGUUUUGAGGCAGGAAUGAUUCUUUGCUAUCACUCUGGCCUUAUGCUCACUUUUUUAUGAAUUGAGGUGUG
Alosa sapidissima (American shad) is the source of this 102-nucleotide long non-coding RNA. RefSeq lists it as uncharacterized. NCBI's taxonomy places the organism in Eukaryota, Metazoa, Chordata, Actinopteri, Clupeiformes, Clupeidae. The transcript has 3 exons. The record is from RefSeq and is a predicted model, not a curated record.